Fundulus heteroclitus (mummichog) is the source of this 1081-nucleotide long non-coding RNA. RefSeq lists it as uncharacterized. The transcript is spliced from 3 exons. The record is from RefSeq and is a predicted model, not a curated record. NCBI's taxonomy places the organism in Eukaryota, Metazoa, Chordata, Actinopteri, Cyprinodontiformes, Fundulidae.
UUUCAAUUGUUGUGUUUUGCAUGCUUGGAUUGUUUUGUUUUUUCUGCUUUCCCCUUUACCAAUCCAAACACACUGGACUGAAGCCGGUUGACGGAGGAGGCAGAGCUCACUAACUGCACAGCUGUGCUCAGGUUUCAGCAGAGGCUAAUAAAAGGAGCUUGGAAGAAGGUGGGAUUCGCAUGUCAGAACAGACGGCCCAGUACACGGAUGCAAGUAAACAAGGUUUGGGUGCCAUCUUAGCUCAGGUGCAAAGUGGCAGAGAAAAUGUGAUCGCCUAUGCUAAUCGAAGUUUGCAUCCUGCUGAAGGGAACGAUGCAAAUUACAGCUCUUUCAAGCUGGAACUUUUGGCUUUAAAGUGAGCCAUCACCGAAAAGUUUAAAGACUACCUGACAGGGGCCAAGUUUACAAUUUUUACAGAUAACAAUCCGGUGGCACACCAUCAAACUGCUCACUUGGGGGCAACAGAACAACGCUGGGUAGCGCAGUUAGCCUCUUUCAAUUUUGUUGUAAAAUAUCGGGCAGGGAAGGAAAACGUUAAUUCUGAUGCCUUGUCCAGAUAUCCAGCAGACACAGCACCAGAGGUCCAAGCUGCCUAUGUGACUAAUGUAGCAGCAUCUCCAGAUCCUCAGGAGCCUGGACUACAGACACAGGACUGGAAGACUGCUCAAGAGUCAGAUAUGGACCUGAAGGUUGUGCAAAGCCGGUUGACUGAGGAGGCAGAGCUCACUAACUGCACAGCUGCGCUCAGGUGUCAGCAGAGGCUUAUAAAAGGAGCUUGGAUAGAAGGGCGGGAAGAAGCUGACCCUGCAGGAGACAGACACGGACACACUGCCGAGCAAAGGAGCAGGUGGGAUCCGCAUGCCAGAACAGAUGGCCUAGUACAGAGGAUCAGGGCAGAAUGAACCUCUGCCUGCGCCUCUGAGGAUCGAAGGUGCGCUGCAGACGGGUGGCCUCCACCAGAAGCAUAAUUUUAAGCGGAGCUCAACCCCUGGCCCUAAUUGACUUUUAAGACAAUUGGUGAAUUUUGGAUUUUAAAGGAAGAAAAGGACUCUUUUAUGGUGCCACUAUUUCUGUGACUUUC